CUUACUAGUGUUUAACUCAAAAUCCCGAGAGGCUUGCGCAGAGGCUGGAGCCCAGCAACCAUUGCUUGUCCUUAGAGCCCAUUUAAGGGGCACCCUCCUAUCAUCACCCAUUAGCUUUCUCCCGGUGAAGCAUGAAUAUUUUCACAGUGAAGCUCAGGUCUAACUGUGACACUCUCACUGCCCACAAAAUGCACAGGAUUCCAGUGAGCAAAUAGCCCCGCCCUGAGUCUACCCGGCAUCGGCCACAGGCAUGCAUAGCAGGAACUGGGCGGCUGAGUUCACAGGCAGUCAGAAUGGGUGCUGCUGCUAGCAAGGUUAAAAUCAUCUGUUCUGCCAAUGUCCCCCUCUGCUCACCCUCUAGGCUGUGGUCUGGGUCCCUCAGGAUAGCCACAACUUGGGAGGCAGCCACUGCUCCCCUUGCUUUGGGCCCUUAGCUGCGUCCUGUUUACCUUCACCUUCCUGAUACAUUCCUUGGGUGCUUUGCUUGUGUGUGCAGGGGCUUUGAUCAACUCGGCCUUCCUGGGCCUCGGGGAGAGAGACGGACUGCCUCCGGGUGCUCAUGACCUUUCCAGCAGUAAGCCAAUAAUGUAUGACUCCUGCGUUGCCGUUGCUCGUUUGAGGAACAUCUGUCCAGUCCCUGGGAUGGUGAGGCUAUAACCACAAAGGAAUAAGAGAAGACGACUAGUUUUGUAAUGGCUUUGAAUGAUGCAUUGGCCCACGUGGACCACCUUCCAUUUCCCAAGACUUUUUGAAGGCAAUGAAUGAGAAGAAAGCAGAGAAAACAGUGGGCGUGAGGUCAGAUGACUCAGGCUUGAGUACUGAUCACAUCAAGGAUUGGACGCACUGCUCUUAGGAAGGCACAACUUCUACUACUUUCAGUCUUAUCAACUGUGAGAGUGUACCCUUGCUGUAGAUGCCACCCGCCCAGCAGUCCUCAUCAUCUUGGCCCAGGAUCACCUGAAACAGAUGAUCCUCCUUUUGAGCUACCAUCAGAAGGUCCACAGUACUAGCCCAGCGCUACAUCCCAAUGCCUACGCCAUUCAUCUCACCUCAUCUCAUCACGUAGACAUUUCAUCAUGUCACAUCAUCACAAGAAGGGAAUCUAUUCACAAAUAAGGUUUUGUGGAUUCAACAGCUUUACUGAAGAUAUGUAGAUUGUUGUUAGCGCUUCCUACCUUGCACAGCCUCUUGUCCCGUCACUGGCCCCAUGCAUCUUCCUCUGCUGCCUUCAAGAAGCUCCAGAUCCUGCCACAGACGUGCUCCACUCAGAGGACUGGAGUCCAAUCCCCUGACAGUGCUUUUCUCUUUGGGAAGCACCCCCUCCCCCACUGCCAUUAAACCUCUGGAA
Molecule: long non-coding RNA, 1348 nt
Filed under: Homo sapiens (human)
Lineage: Eukaryota; Metazoa; Chordata; Mammalia; Primates; Hominidae
Description: HSALNT0224916
Source: RNAcentral